AGAGUUUGAUCCUGGCUCAGGAUGAACGCUGGCGGAAUGCUUAACACAUGCAAGUCUACUUGAAAGUUCCUUCGGGAAUGAUUAGAGUGGCGGACGGGUGAGUAACGCGUGAAUAACCUGCCCAACAGACUGGGAUAACUUCUCGAAAGGGGAGCUAAAACCGGAUAUUAUAUAUUUAUGGCAUCAUAGAUAUAUGAAACACUACAUGUGCUGUUGGAGGGGUUCGCGUCCUAUUAGCUAGUUGGAGAGGUAAUGGCUCCCCAAGGCGACGAUAGGUAGCCGGCCUGAUAGGGUGAUCGGCCACAAGGGAACUGAGACACGGUCCUUACUCCUACGGGAGGCAGCAGUGGGAAUAUUGCGCAAUGGAGGAAACUCUGACGCAGCAAUUCCGCGUGGAUGAUGAAGGUUUUCGGAUUGUAAAGUCCUUUCAGCAGGGAAGAAGCAAGUGACGGUACCUGCAGAAGAAGCCACGGCUAAUUACGUGCCAGCAGCCGCGGUAAGACGUAAGUGGCAAGCGUUAUCCGGAUUUACUGGGCGUAAAGGGCGCGUAGGCGGCAAAUCAAGUCAGAGGUGAAAAGUCAGGGCUCAACAUUGGCCUUGCCUUUGAAACUGGUUAGCUAGAGUACGGGAGAGGAGGGCGGAACUACCAGUGUAGCGGUGAAAUACGUAGAUAUUGGUAGGAACGCCGAUGACGAAGGUAGCUCUCUGGACCGAUACUGACGCUGAGGCGCGAAAGCUAGGGGAGCAAACAGGAUUAGAUACCCUGGUAGUCCUAGCUGUAAACGAUGGAUACUAGGUGUGGGCAAUAGUAUUGUCCGUGCCGGAGCAAACGCGAUAAGUAUCCCGCCUGGGGAGUACGGUCGCAAGACUAAAACUCAAAGGAAUUGACGGGGACCCGCACAAGCGGUGGAGCAUGUGGUUUAAUUCGACGCAACGCGAGGAACCUUACCAGGUCUUGACAUCGUAGGAAUCCGGUAGAGAUAUUGGAGUGCCUUUCGGGGAACCUAUAGACAGGUGGUGCAUGGCUGUCGUCAGCUCGUGCCGUGAGGUGUUGGGUUAAGUCCCGCAACGAGCGCAACCCCUAUUGCUAGUUACCAUCAUUAAGUUGGGGACUCUAGUGAGACUGCCUGCGACGAGCAGGAGGAAGGUGGGGAUGACGUCAAGUCAUCAUGCCCCUUAUGACCUGGGCUACACACGUGCUACAAUGGGCGGUACAGAGAGGAGCUAAGGAGUGAUCUGGAGCGAAUCUCAAAAAGCCGUUCUUAGUUCGGAUUGUAGUCUGCAACUCGACUACAUGAAGUUGGAAUCGCUAGUAAUCGCAAAUCAGCAAUGUUGCGGUGAAUACGUUCUCGGGUCUUGUACACACCGCCCGUCACACCACGAGAGUUUUUUGCACCUGAAGUUGCCGGCCUAACCUUCGGGAGGGAGGCACCUAAGGUGUGGGAAGUGAUUGGGGUGGCGUCGGAACAAGGUA
Molecule: ribosomal RNA, 1474 nt
Filed under: metagenome
Description: bacterial SSU rRNA
Rfam family: Bacterial small subunit ribosomal RNA
Source: RNAcentral